RNAcentral lists this long non-coding RNA (438 nucleotides) under Carica papaya (papaya). Its description in RNAcentral is "long non-coding RNA (CPAP_LNC003834)". The record is from RNAcentral. Lineage: Eukaryota; Viridiplantae; Streptophyta; Magnoliopsida; Brassicales; Caricaceae.
UAUGAGGGUGAACUAUAUCUCCCGAACCAUACUGGUAAGGGACUUUCCAGCCCCAUCUGACUGAGGUAACGUUCACGAUAAGAUUCUCUAUGUACCGAACCCGUCCGUCCUUUUUUCGAGUACCCAGUAAGUCUUUGACAUACAGAUUUCUAUCAGUAUAACAAUCAACAACACAAUACCAAUAUCUCAUUUUAUAUUCACAUAUCAAAAAAACGACAUUCAAGCAAGCUAUUAAACUUAUCAUAAUCAAUAACCGGAUAAUCAGAUAACCCGAUAAAUCAUGCAAGAAGGAACCAAUUAACCCAGAUAAUCGAGAAGACUAUAAAAACUAUCAAUGUAAGUAUGCACAAUAUAAUGGUAAACAAUUUAGGGCAGAACAUGAAAAUAAACUGAGAAUCAGGACAAACGUGCACUAACCAGUUUUGUCUCCACUAAUAA